Molecule: long non-coding RNA, 1285 nt
Filed under: Monodelphis domestica (gray short-tailed opossum)
Lineage: Eukaryota; Metazoa; Chordata; Mammalia; Didelphimorphia; Didelphidae
Description: lncRNA (ENSMODG00000050921.1)
Source: RNAcentral
AUGAGAAUGAAUAUCCCAUCCCUAACCUUUCUUCUCCUUUUAUCCCAUGAAAUAAUUCAUCAAACAUCUACACAUUUCCUUUCUUUCUUUAACUUUCUUUCUUUCUUUCUUUCUUUCUUUCUUUCUUUCUUUCUUUCUUUCUUUCUUUCUUUCUUUCUUUCUAAAUUUCUUUCUUUCUCUCUUUUUCUCUUUCUCUCUUUCUUUCUUUCUCUCUUUCUCUCUUUCCCCUUAUCUUCCAUCUUAGAACCAAUACUCUGUAUUGGCUCCAAGGCAAAAGAGUGGUAAGGGCUAGGUAACGGGGGUUGAGUGACUUGCACAGGGUCACACAGUCAGGAAGUGUCUGAGGCCAGAUUUGAACCUAGGACCUCCUGUCUCUAGGCCUGGCUCUCCAUCCACUGAGCCAUUCAGCUGCCUCCUUAUCCUUAUUUUCCAUUUAAUUGGCUCUUCUUUAUUUUUACACCUUUAUUUCUUGAGAUACCUUUCCUAUCUUUCCCCUUGCUUUUCUUUGAGACCCAUAUCUCAUUACAAAGAAUCUAAAGAGAAAACAACAAUUCAGCAAAAUUAACCCGGUACGCUCUAUAUUUGAGAAAUGAGGCCUUUGUCAGAGAUGUUUGCUAUACAUUUUCCCCAGUUUAUUGUUCUUCUAAUUUUGGUUACAGUGGUUUUGUUUGUGCAAAACCUUUUAAAUGAAAUGUAGUCAGAGUUAUCUAUUUUACAUUGCAUAAUGUUCCCUUGGUUUUGUUUAGACAUAAAUCCUUCUCUUCUCCAUAAGUCUGACAGGGAAACUAUCCUAUGUUCCUCUAAUUUGUUUAUGGUGUCCCCCUUUAUUUCUUAAUCAUGUAUCUAUUUUGACUUUACCUUAGUAUAUGGCGUAAAGUCUUGUUCUGUGCCUGGUUUCUGCCAUACUAUUUUCCAGUUUUCCCAGCGAUUUUUGUUGAAUAAUGAGUUCUUCUUCCAAAAGCUUGGAUCUUCGAGCUUAUCAAACACUAGGUUACCAUGGUGAUUUGCUGCUAUGUAUUGAGGGCCUAAUCCAUUCCAUUGGUCCACCCCUAUUUCUUAGGCAGUAACAGAUUGUUUUGAUGGUUGUCACUUUUUAAUAGUUGGAGAUCCAACACAGCUAAGCCAAUUUCCUUCAUUCCCCCCCCCCCCAAUUCCUUUGAUGUUCUUGACCCUUUGGUCUUCCAGAUGAAUUUUGUAAUUAUUUUUUCUAGCUCAGUGAAAUAAUUUUUGGGUCCUGGAGAUGCCUUUUGGCUCAAGCAUUCAUUAGAUUUAAGUUAGACAGAGC